RNAcentral lists this ribosomal RNA (2787 nucleotides) under Escherichia coli. Its description in RNAcentral is "bacterial LSU rRNA". It matches the Rfam family "Bacterial large subunit ribosomal RNA". The record is from RNAcentral. Lineage: Bacteria; Pseudomonadati; Pseudomonadota; Gammaproteobacteria; Enterobacterales; Enterobacteriaceae.
AGCGUACACGGUGGAUGCCCUGGCAGUCAGAGGCGAUGAAGGACGUGCUAAUCUGCGAUAAGCGUCGGUGAGGUGAUAUGAACCGUUAUAACCGGCGAUUUCCGAAUGGGGAAACCCAGUGUGAUUCGUCACACUAUCAUUAACUGAAUCCAUAGGUUAAUGAGGCGAACCGGGGGAACUGAAACAUCUAAGUACCCCGAGGAAAAGAAAUCAACCGAGAUUCCCCCAGUAGCGGCGAGCGAACGGGGAGGAGCCCAGAGCCUGAAUCAGUGUGUGUGUUAGUGGAAGCGUCUGGAAAGGCGUGCGAUACAGGGUGACAGCCCCGUACACAAAAAUGCACAUAUUGUGAGCUCGAUGAGUAGGGCGGGACACGUGGUAUCCUGUCUGAAUAUGGGGGGACCAUCCUCCAAGGCUAAAUACUCCUGACUGACCGAUAGUGAACCAGUACCGUGAGGGAAAGGCGAAAAGAACCCCGGCGAGGGGAGUGAAAAAGAACCUGAAACCGUGUACGUACAAGCAGUGGGAGCCUCUUAAUGGGGUGACUGCGUACCUUUUGUAUAAUGGGUCAGCGACUUAUAUUCUGUAGCAAGGUUAACCGAAUAGGGGAGCCGAAGGGAAACCGAGUCUUAACUGGGCGUUAAGUUGCAGGGUAUAGACCCGAAACCCGGUGAUCUAGCCAUGGGCAGGUUGAAGGUUGGGUAACACUAACUGGAGGACCGAACCGACUAAUGUUGAAAAAUUAGCGGAUGACUUGUGGCUGGGGGUGAAAGGCCAAUCAAACCGGGAGAUAGCUGGUUCUCCCCGAAAGCUAUUUAGGUAGCGCCUCGUGAAUUCAUCUCCGGGGGUAGAGCACUGUUUCGGCAAGGGGGUCAUCCCGACUUACCAACCCGAUGCAAACUGCGAAUACCGGAGAAUGUUAUCACGGGAGACACACGGCGGGUGCUAACGUCCGUCGUGAAGAGGGAAACAACCCAGACCGCCAGCUAAGGUCCCAAAGUCAUGGUUAAGUGGGAAACGAUGUGGGAAGGCCCAGACAGCCAGGAUGUUGGCUUAGAAGCAGCCAUCAUUUAAAGAAAGCGUAAUAGCUCACUGGUCGAGUCGGCCUGCGCGGAAGAUGUAACGGGGCUAAACCAUGCACCGAAGCUGCGGCAGCGACACUAUGUGUUGUUGGGUAGGGGAGCGUUCUGUAAGCCUGUGAAGGUGUGCUGUGAGGCAUGCUGGAGGUAUCAGAAGUGCGAAUGCUGACAUAAGUAACGAUAAAGCGGGUGAAAAGCCCGCUCGCCGGAAGACCAAGGGUUCCUGUCCAACGUUAAUCGGGGCAGGGUGAGUCGACCCCUAAGGCGAGGCCGAAAGGCGUAGUCGAUGGGAAACAGGUUAAUAUUCCUGUACUUGGUGUUACUGCGAAGGGGGGACGGAGAAGGCUAUGUUGGCCGGGCGACGGUUGUCCCGGUUUAAGCGUGUAGGCUGGUUUUCCAGGCAAAUCCGGAAAACCAAGGCUGAGGCGUGAUGACGAGGCACUACGGUGCUGAAGUGACAAAUGCCCUGCUUCCAGGAAAAGCCUCUAAGCAUCAGGUAACAUCAAAUCGUACCCCAAACCGACACAGGUGGUCAGGUAGAGAAUACCAAGGCGCUUGAGAGAACUCGGGUGAAGGAACUAGGCAAAAUGGUGCCGUAACUUCGGGAGAAGGCACGCUGAUAUGUAGGUGAAGCGACUUGCUCGUGGAGCUGAAAUCAGUCGAAGAUACCAGCUGGCUGCAACUGUUUAUUAAAAACACAGCACUGUGCAAACACGAAAGUGGACGUAUACGGUGUGACGCCUGCCCGGUGCCGGAAGGUUAAUUGAUGGGGUUAGCGGUAACGCGAAGCUCUUGAUCGAAGCCCCGGUAAACGGCGGCCGUAACUAUAACGGUCCUAAGGUAGCGAAAUUCCUUGUCGGGUAAGUUCCGACCUGCACGAAUGGCGUAAUGAUGGCCAGGCUGUCUCCACCCGAGACUCAGUGAAAUUGAACUCGCUGUGAAGAUGCAGUGUACCCGCGGCAAGACGGAAAGACCCCGUGAACCUUUACUAUAGCUUGACACUGAACAUUGAGCCUUGAUGUGUAGGAUAGGUGGGAGGCUUUGAAGUGUGGACGCCAGUCUGCAUGGAGCCGACCUUGAAAUACCACCCUUUAAUGUUUGAUGUUCUAACGUUGGCCCCUGAUCGGGGUUGCGGACAGUGUCUGGUGGGUAGUUUGACUGGGGCGGUCUCCUCCUAAAGAGUAACGGAGGAGCACGAAGGUUGGCUAAUCCUGGUCGGACAUCAGGAGGUUAGUGCAAUGGCAUAAGCCAGCUUGACUGCGAGCGUGACGGCGCGAGCAGGUGCGAAAGCAGGUCAUAGUGAUCCGGUGGUUCUGAAUGGAAGGGCCAUCGCUCAACGGAUAAAAGGUACUCCGGGGAUAACAGGCUGAUACCGCCCAAGAGUUCAUAUCGACGGCGGUGUUUGGCACCUCGAUGUCGGCUCAUCACAUCCUGGGGCUGAAGUAGGUCCCAAGGGUAUGGCUGUUCGCCAUUUAAAGUGGUACGCGAGCUGGGUUUAGAACGUCGUGAGACAGUUCGGUCCCUAUCUGCCGUGGGCGCUGGAGAACUGAGGGGGGCUGCUCCUAGUACGAGAGGACCGGAGUGGACGCAUCACUGGUGUUCGGGUUGUCAUGCCAAUGGCACUGCCCGGUAGCUAAAUGCGGAAGAGAUAAGUGCUGAAAGCAUCUAAGCACGAAACUUGCCCCGAGAUGAGUUCUCCCUGACUCCUUGA